Mytilus trossulus (common blue mussel) is the source of this 584-nucleotide long non-coding RNA. RefSeq lists it as uncharacterized. The record is from RefSeq and is a predicted model, not a curated record. NCBI's taxonomy places the organism in Eukaryota, Metazoa, Mollusca, Bivalvia, Mytilida, Mytilidae. The transcript has 3 exons.
UUGCAAUUUAACCCUAUGUUCUAUAUCAUCCAUGUCGACCAUGUUUGUCGCAGGCGGGUCAUUGACACAUUUUGAAAACUAUUUCCUCGAUUAUUAUUAGGCUAUUAGUUUGGUUAAAUUUGAUCAAGAGUUUCAAAGGAGAUUAUUUUUUUAAAUUAACGGAAGACAAAUAAAAAACGAUAGAUGACGAAAUACGACGGACUCCAAAUGAUGAAAAAACUCACGUUGGUGCCUAUAGGCCGGAUGAGGUAAAAAGGGCAUGGUAAUAAAUGAAAGCGAAGCGUUAACAAUAUCCUGUAAAUGGGGAUGUCCGUCCAGAAAAGUUUGUAACUUCUGUUGUGACCACUUAAAGAAGGGAUGUACUGGUGGAACUUGUACGGGUGGAUGGAUUAAAAAAUGUGAAUGUGAAUGUCCUUCUGGAUAAAAGAAACAAGAUAUCCAAAAAAUAUGAUCCGAUAUCAGCGGUAGAUUUAUAAAUUGGUAUGAGUUCAUCCUAAGUACAUGCAGAGAUUUAGAAGAAGUCUAAAUUAAUGAUCAUAUUUUUUGCGAUCCCCUUUUUCGUUGUGCAAAUAAAAUAGAUUUUG